UAUGACGGAGGCAGUCACGCAAUUUUCUUUCUCGCAAGACAAAAAAAAUAAAAAUAGAUUCGAAUCACCUUCAUCCUUAUCAUAUCCUAGCUAUAUAAAGCUGGUAUGGGCUCAUCAAACUUGAACUAUCAUUUACUAGAACUACUUCAAGUCAUCAUUCUUCAGACCUCUUAUUUCUCUUUAGAUUUCUUUCUGUUUUUAUGUGCUGUUCAUUUCUUUUGCAUAGGAGAGAAACAGCGGCCUUAGCGAAAGGAAGGAAAAUGAAGAUAAAAGUGGAAUAUCUAUUAUCUGCAGAGUUUUAUGCGAAAAUGAAAGAAACACAAAAGGUGGCAGAGAGUUUUGGGAGAAGUUUUUGGAGAAGUGAUUGGUUUGAGGCUUCUCACAAAAUAUAUUGUUUAUAAAGGUAUAUAUAGAGUACAAAGAGAAACCAAAUCCUACCAACUUGACUGUACAUUAAACCAAAUCCUACCAACUAUAGGACUGUACAAUAAUGAAGGAAAUCAAAUCCUACAAACUAUAGGACU
Molecule: long non-coding RNA, 524 nt
Filed under: Nicotiana benthamiana
Lineage: Eukaryota; Viridiplantae; Streptophyta; Magnoliopsida; Solanales; Solanaceae
Description: long non-coding RNA (NBEN_LNC017084)
Source: RNAcentral